UUUUAUCUUCCUUUAGUAUUAUAUUAAUAUUGCAUACCAUUUAAAAUUCCUUUUUUUUUUAAAUUGGGAUUUAAACUCAGGUAAAGCUACCACUGAUCUACAUUACAGCCCUUUUUAUUUUUAUCUUAUUUUUUAUAUUUAUUUUUUUAGUUCCAGGUGGACACAGUAUCUUUAUUUUAUUUUUAUGUAGUGCUGAGAUUCGAACCCCGUGCCUCUUGCAUGCUAGGCGAGCAAGAUACCACUUGAGCCACAUCCCCAGUCCCCUUUUUAUUUUUUAAGAUAAGAUCUCACUGUUACUUGGGCCUUGCUAAAUUGCUGAGGUUGGCCUUGAACUUGGGAUCCUCCUGCCUCAGCCUCUCAAGUCACUGGGAUUACAGGUGUGCACCACCACGCCUGGCUUGGCAUUUGCCUUUUAAUGUCCACAGUGGGCAGGGAAGUCCUGGCAUCACAGGCCGAAGCUGGAAUUCAGGCUCCCAGGACAUCUGAGUAUGGGAGGGGGGAGUCUAAUGUCUGUAAGGAAUAUAAAUUUCCUUUCUAGAAAGCAUAAUCACUUUAUUAACAACUACAUACAGUGUCCCUGGAUCUCUGCCAGUCGUUGCCAGGAAGUGAAGAACGAUAAGAGUCCUUGCUUCCCCGAAUGCUGAAGUACAACACCAGAGAAGCACGCCCAGGCGAACGCGGAGUGGAGAGUGGAAGGCUUUAUUAAAGGAUAGCAGAAAAGACUUCCCCCAGGAGGAAGAAGGGGACCCAAAAGGUGAAAUCCGUGCAAAGGGGAGGUCUUCUCCCUUUUAUAUCUAAGGUCUUCCCUUGUCUUCCCACAUUCCGGUCCUUUGUGUCCCUCUAUCCUGCUUGUGGUGGGGGAUGCAGGUGGGAAGGCCCAAAGGUGACAAAGAGGUGGCCUGAUGGGGCGGGGAGAAGAGAUCUGGGCAGCAAGGGCCUAGGGUGGUUUGAUUAGCAUCUCUUAACUGCUUCAUUAACAGUUCUUUAGGACAGACUUGGGCCUUGAGGACUUUAACGUUUCAAUUUCCCAGUGGUAGUUCUGAUUUUCCCAGGCUCGGAUCAGACCCUAUUUUCUUUAUUAGACCGAUUUACCUAACUACACUAACUACCUAUCGUUAAAUCUGGCUUCACUCUCCCCUCUAUCCCCUCUGUUCCAACUGAUACCCCCAGUUACCAGCGACAAGUCCUGCUUCUUCACAUGUUGGAGUGUAGCACUGGAGAAACACACCAAGGCAAGCAUAUAAAGCAGGGUUUGUUUAAAAAGAGGUAACAUAGACUUCUCCCAGGAGGGAGAAGGGGGCCAUAGCUGGUAUCCUGGUAUCUCAAGCAGCAAGGGGGGUUUGCCUUUUUAAUAUGUCCUAGGCUUCCCUAUUUCUCUCCUUCCUGUGUCGGUGACUAGGCCCAGGAGAUGCCCAGGUGGGUUGGCCAAAAGGAGAGAGAAGCAGAUGGGGUGCAGGGGCCAAGUGGGAGUGAUCUGGGCGGGAAAGGGGCGUAAUUAACACCCCCCUUGUGGGGAGGGACUAUCCCUGAGACAGGUUACCUUAGCAACAGUUUGGAGCAGGGGCAGGUUAUCUUCAAGAGGGUGGAAGAAUUUCAAUUCCCCCAUUCUCUGGCUCCACCCUUACCUCUCUGCCCGGCUAAUUCUGGCUUCACAACCUCACUAACCUCCUUGCUCUUUCUGGACUUUGCCAGGCGCACUAUUUUAUUUCAGACACCUAGCACAGUGCCUGGUACACAGUAAAUUUUGUCCCUUGCAUGACUCUCCUACUGAAGCCAGAUUUACCGAAAGGUAGUUAAUGUAGUUAGGUAAAUCGGGCCUAAUAUUGAGUAAGAUUAAAAAAAUGGAGACCAUUAUCGAAUGGAGUCGGAGAAACCAGAGCAGCAUUUCAUUAACAUUAAAUUGAAAUGUUAAUGUCCCCAAGGCCCUGAAACCGUCCUAAGGAACUGUUCAAGAAGCAGCUCCCAGCAAACAGGGAGGUGCUAAUCAAAAACCGCCCUAUUUUGCUACUGUGUUACUUGACCAUUGUUCUAAUAAGUGGAGUUUUUUAAAAUAUUGAUUUUUUUUUUUUUAGUUGUAGUUGGACACCAUACCUUUUUAAAAUAUAUAUAUAUAUAUUUAUUUUUAUGUGGUGCUGAGGAUGGAAGCCAAGGCUGCUCAUGUGCUAGACUAGUGCUCUACCGCACGCCCUGGGAGCCACAACUCCAGCCCAAGUGGAGUUUUAAAAUCUCCAGCACUUGGAGAUCUUUUGUUCUAUUGAGGGUUUUGUGGGGCUGCUAUUCUUUGUAACAAGGUUUGGUUGAAAGAUAAGAACAUUGGAUGUACGCAGGUGCACAAGUGCUUUCCUUAGAGCCAGAAAGCUUGUAGUGAACCCUGCACCUGCAAAACACGAUCCUUUCAAACAAAGGAGAGUGGGAAGUGACUAUCUCUCAGUCUCACCAAUUGGUUCAAACCAGCUCCAAGAAAACAGAUUCAAAUUAGGAACCCGAACCCCACCCAGAGCCAAUUCUUUUUGAACAAUAACUUUUAUCAAUGCCUCAGGAACAUUAGGAGCUCAGUUCUAUUUUAAGUAGCAAGGUUGGAGAUUAACGCUGUGGUCAAGUUUAAUAGUGUAAUUAAUUAAUUAAUUAAUUAUAUUCUACCUUAUUAUUUUAAAAGAUCGUGAGGGUUUUUUUUUUUUGUUUGUUUGUUUAUUUUUUUUUUACAGUUUUAAAUACAGUGACAAUGAAAAAUUUAAGAAGAGAGUUGGAAGCCCAUUAUGUCCAAGUGGGAACUGUUUGCAUAUGGAUAAAUAUUUUAAUCAUGAAAUUUGACUCUGGGCUUCUCAGCAUUCAGGGUCAAAACAGGAAUGGUGGACCAUAUAAAUCUCAUUAGAAGAAG
Molecule: long non-coding RNA, 2878 nt
Filed under: Marmota monax (woodchuck)
Lineage: Eukaryota; Metazoa; Chordata; Mammalia; Rodentia; Sciuridae
Source: RNAcentral